This 253-nucleotide ribosomal RNA is filed under the name uncultured bacterium. RNAcentral describes it as "partial 16S ribosomal RNA". It matches the Rfam family "Bacterial small subunit ribosomal RNA", at positions 524 to 776 of the family's 1533-position model. The record is from RNAcentral.
UACAGAGGUCUCAAGCGUUGUUCGGAAUCACUGGGCGUAAAGGGCGCGUAGGCGGAUAGUUUAGUCAGAGGUGAAAGCCCAGGGCUCAACCUUGGAAUUGCCUUUGAUACUGGCUAUCUUGAGUUCGGGAGAGGUGAGUGGAAUGCCGAGUGUAGAGGUGAAAUUCGUAGAUAUUCGGCGGAACACCAGUGGCGAAGGCGACUCACUGGCCCGAUACUGACGCUGAGGCGCGAAAGCGUGGGGAGCAAACAGG